UACGAAGGGUGCUAGCGUUGCUCGGAAUUACUGGGCGUAAAGCGCACGUAGGCGGGUUGUUAAGUCGGGGGUGAAAUCCUGGAGCUCAACUCCAGAACUGCCUUCGAAACUGGCGAUCUUGAGUACGGGAGAGGUGAGUGGAACUGCGAGUGUAGAGGUGAAAUUCGUAGAUAUUCGGAAGAACACCAGUGGCGAAGGCGGCUCACUGGACCGGUACUGACGCUGAGGUGCGAAAGCGUGGGGAGCAAACAGG
Molecule: ribosomal RNA, 253 nt
Filed under: uncultured bacterium
Lineage: Bacteria
Description: partial 16S ribosomal RNA
Rfam family: Bacterial small subunit ribosomal RNA
Source: RNAcentral